This 2810-nucleotide long non-coding RNA is filed under the name Salmo salar (Atlantic salmon). RNAcentral describes it as "lncRNA (ENSSSAG00000111202.1)". The record is from RNAcentral. Lineage: Eukaryota; Metazoa; Chordata; Actinopteri; Salmoniformes; Salmonidae.
GUGUCAGUCAAGGAGAGCUCAUUAAUAUAAGCUCCCCGACACACAGCCUGUUCAUUCAGGCUUCCUGAUUGUUAGAGAUGAGAGAAAAGCCAGAACCCUGGUUGCCUCUGCCAGGAGGCUGACACUUUGUCUAGGACGCAGACCUCCAUCCUUCUUCUUCACAAAAAAGAAACUCGAGGAGGCGGGUGAAGUGGAGGACCGAAUGAUAAAAUUCCCAGCUGCGCCUGAAUUUCUCAGGUGUAUCUAGAACAUAGGGACACAAUCUUGGAGAAACAAAGGAGACCUCUGUAACGGCUGUCUAUGGAAGAAGUGGACCAAAAUGCGGCGGAGUUAGGGUUCGUCAUAUUUAAUACACGAACACUAUGCAUUUCACAAAAACAACAAAAACUGACAGCCAACACAGUCCUGUCAGGUGCAACCACAAUGACAAGAACAAUUACCCACACCACACAAAGGAAACGUAGGCAACUUAUGUGUGACUCCCAAUCAACCACAACCCUCUACAGCUGUGCCUGAUUGGAAGUCACACGGCCAAAAUCAAUGAAACAAUAAAACACUCACUCCCUUCUGCCACGUCCUGACCCAACUACACCCUCUACUGGUCAGGACGUGACAACCUCAUACAAAUGGCAGAAUAAAAUGUGACCCCAUUUGGUCCGACCCCAAAUGUGACCCCAUUUGGUGCAUUUGGUGCACAUUUCAGCACUUAAGGAGUUGAUGAAAACUAUAGCAAAUUUUCAGCGCUAUCUAUUUUCACUUGCAUUGUUCUUUAGUGGAGAAUAAUUACUUGUGCGUGAGCGAGAUCUUGUAAGCAAAAAUAUGUCACUCUGCUUCCCAAAUGGCACCUUACUCCCUAUAGGCCCCCAUAGGGCACUGGUCAAAAGUAGUGCACUGUAUAGGGAAUAGGUUGCAAUUUGAGACUGAGACACUAGCUACUAGAAACUACGCUUCUGGAAUCCACUGGGUAAAGAUGUUGUGGAGAAUUAGAGAAGCAGCCAGUGCUGGUGACAGUUAAGUGGCUGGAAGAAGCUGUCAGAGCGAUGGGGCUUUCAUGACACAUCAGUGAGGUUGUGCACCAUGUUAUAUAGAAAAGUCUCCAUUGUUUGUUCUUUGGACCCAACGGCUGAUUUGUGUGCGUGCGUACAGAUGUUCAUUCAUGCCUAUGUGUAUUUGUCUGCCCGCUUUUAUGUGUGCUCAUCUGUGUGUGGGCGCAUGUGUACGUGUGUGUGAUUAUGCUGUCGAUAGUGUAAUCUUCUGCAUUAGGGAGCUCAGAGAAUGAAUAAUUCAUCAAUAUGCCAGCACAUCCAUCUCCAAUGUGUUGCAGCACGUGUGCUUAGCUAUGCUGAUUAGGUGACAUGGGCAUGUAUUGCACCACCACCAAAGCAGUGAAGUGCUCCACAUUAGUAUAUGUCUCCGAGCCAUGUAUUGGAAGACGUAAAAUAAUUAACUAUUUACGUCCAUGGGAGGCAGAGUUAAAUGAAUUCAAUUAAGUGAGCGCAGACUCCGAGCAGAGUGUUUAGAGGCAUGGAUGAAAAAUAAAUCAUUAUGACAAGUUAAGCGCAGCCUCAACGUCUCGUGUUGUCCCCGCCAGGUUAAAUCACAGAAUGGACAAUGUCAUUUUCAUGUGUGCAUUACACACUGAACAAAAAUAUGAAUGAAAAAUCUAAAGUGUUGGUCCCAUGUUUUAUGCCAGACAUUUUCCAUACGUACAAAAAGCUAACAGUGUGUCCCUCAAAUUUUGUGCACAAAUUUCUUUACAUCACUAUAACGAGCAUUUAUCCUUUGCCAAGAGAAUCCAUCCACCUGACAGGUGUGGCAUAUUAAACAUCAUGAUCAUUACACAGGUGCACCUUAUGCUGGAGACAAUAAAAGGCCACUUUAAAAUGUGCAGUUUUGUCACACAACACAAUGCCAAGUAUGUCUCAAGUUUUGAGGGAGCAUGUAAUUGGCAUGCUGACUGCAGGAAUGUCCACCAGAGCUGUUGCCAGAGAAUUGAAUGUUAAUUUCUCUACCAUAAGCUGCCUCCAACGUCGUUUUAGAGAAUUUGUCAGUACGUCCAACCGGCCUCACAACCGCACACCAUGUGUAACCACACCUGCCCAGGACCUCCAUAUCCGGGGUUUUCACCUUCGUCGCAUGAGGGGCGGGGGGAUGCUAAGGAGUAUUUCUGUCUGUAGAAAAACAAUUUUGUGCGGGAAAACUCAUUCUGAUUGGCUGGGCCUGGUUCCCCAUUGGGUGGGCCUAUGCCCUCCCAGACCCACCUAUGGAUGCACCCCUGCCCAGUCAUGUGAAAUCCAUAGAUUAGGGCCUAAUAAAAUAAUGUUAAAUUGACUGAUUUCCUUAUAUGAACAGUAACUCAGUAAAAUCUUUGAAAUUGUUUUUUUUAUGUAUAAAAGUUUCUACUGGACAGUAUGAGCUGCAUUUAGUUGUUUUAGACUCAUCAUAUAUACAUUGGUCAGAUAAUGCAUAGCUGACAUCAAUGUCUUAUCAUGACUGGCAACUAACACAAUUUGUAAGGACAGACACUGGGAGACGAGAAGCAAGUACAGGGAGAGAACAUUUAAUAAACAACGGACAUGAAACAGAACACGGACAGCGUCUGGAAAGGGGAAACAAAACAACAUUAACCUGUUGGGGCUAGGGGGCAGUAUUUGCACGGCCGGAUAAAAAACGUACCCGAUUUAACUUCUCUAGGGCCAGUGGGACGAUUUCGUCCCACCUACGUAACAGCCAGUGGAAUCCCGUGGCGCGUUAUUCAAAUACCUUAGAAAUGCUAUUACUUCAAUUUCUCAAACAUAUGACUAUUUUAC